AACGAACGCUGGCGGCAUGCCUAACACAUGCAAGUCGAACGAGACCUUCGGGUCUAGUGGCGCACGGGUGCGUAACGCGUGGGAACCUGCCCUUAGGUUCGGAAUAACUCCCCGAAAGGGGUGCUAAUACCGGAUAAUGUCUUCGGACCAAAGAUUUAUCGCCUUUGGAUGGGCCCGCGUUGGAUUAGCUAGUUGGUAGGGUAAAAGCCUACCAAGGCGACGAUCCAUAGCUGGUCUGAGAGGAUGAUCAGCCACACUGGGACUGAGACACGGCCCAGACGACGGCGGGCGGCAGGGGGGGGUAUUAGGGGGAAGGGGGCGGAGGCCUGAUCCACCAGUGACGCGUGAGUGGAGAAGGCCCUAGGUUUGUAAAUAUCUUUUCCUCGGGAGGAGAAUGACCGUCCGGGGAAAAUACCCGCCGGCUACCCCCGUGCCAGCGGCCGCGGUAAUCGCCGGAAGAGCCCACGUCUGCCC
This 474-nucleotide ribosomal RNA is filed under the name uncultured bacterium. RNAcentral's name for it is "partial 16S ribosomal RNA". It matches the Rfam family "Bacterial small subunit ribosomal RNA", at positions 36 to 538 of the family's 1533-position model. The record is from RNAcentral.